UACAGAGGGGGCGAGCGUUGUUCGGAUUUAUUGGGUGUAAAGGGUGCGUAGGUGGUCUUGUAAGUCGGAUGUGUAAUCCCUUGGCUUAACCAAGGACUUGCAUCCGAAACUGCUUGGCUUGAGGGUGGGGGAAGAGACUGGAAUUCUCGGUGUAGCGGUGAAAUGCGUAGAUAUCGAGAAGAACACCAGUGGCGAAGGCGGGUCUCUACUCCACAUCUGACACUGAGGCACGAAAGCUAGGGUAGCAAACGGG
Molecule: ribosomal RNA, 253 nt
Filed under: uncultured bacterium
Lineage: Bacteria
Description: partial 16S ribosomal RNA
Rfam family: Bacterial small subunit ribosomal RNA
Source: RNAcentral